CCCACUUCACUGCAGCCUCACAAGCCAGGCAUUUGCUUCAGAUAUUCCAGUUCAGUUGUAACUGCAAAUUAAUCCAUGCCACUUUGUUUCCCCCCUUAGACUUCACGUACGUAGAUGCCUUUAAGCUCUGUUGCUCAGGAGAUGGAUGAUUCACUGUGCCAGGCUCCCCUUCUGGCCUGUCCACAGCUCUCUGAGCUCCACUUUGCAGCCAAGGUCUCGCAGUGCAGCUUUGGCCACAUCAUCGCAGUCCUUGUGUGUUGCACGAGCUUCUGUUAUUAGGUCCUCAGCUCCCAUCUCUAAGAUGGGCUGAGAAUAGUCUCGGCUCCGGGAAACCAGGUUGCGGAUCAGCAUGCAAGCCUGUUUCUGUACAGCCACUUCUCGUGGGUGUGCUUUCAUAGCCUGAAGAGCUGCCAGUGCCCCUCCACCUUCCAUGAUGACAUUACAGUUCUCAGGUUUGCGCAGAGCUAACAUGCAC
This 475-nucleotide long non-coding RNA is filed under the name Gallus gallus (chicken). Lineage: Eukaryota; Metazoa; Chordata; Aves; Galliformes; Phasianidae. The record is from RNAcentral.